CCUACGGGAGGCAGCAGUAGGGAAUAUUGCUCCAUGGGGGAAACCCUGAAGCAGCAACGCCGCGUGGAGGAUGAAGGUUUUCGGAUUGUAAACUCCUUUUGUUAGAGAAGAUAAUGACGGUAUCUAACGAAUAAGCACCGGCUAACUCCGUGCCAGCAGCCGCGGUAAUACGGAGGGUGCAAGCGUUACUCGGAAUCACUGGGCGGAAAGAGCGCGUAGGCGGGAUAGCAAGUCAGAUGUGAAAUCCUAUGGCUUAACCAUAGAACUGCAUUUGAAACUGUUAUUCUAGAGUAUGGGAGAGGUAGGUGGAAUUCUUGGUGUAGGGGUAAAAUCCGUAGAGAUCAAGAGGAAUACUCAUUGCGAAGGCGACCUGCUAGAACAUAACUGACGCUGAUGCGCGAAAGCGUGGGGAGCAAACAGGAUUAGAUACCCUAGUAGUC
RNAcentral lists this ribosomal RNA (440 nucleotides) under uncultured bacterium. RNAcentral's name for it is "partial 16S ribosomal RNA". It matches the Rfam family "Bacterial small subunit ribosomal RNA", at positions 338 to 795 of the family's 1533-position model. The record is from RNAcentral.